GUAUCCUUACUUAUUUGAGUAGACGAGUUAAAAUAUGGUUAAUUUCACGGACGAAAUUAUUUUAAGGGGUGGAGAAUGUAAUAUACCGAAACUUCGAUAAACAAAUAUCGAACUUUAGUCAAAAUGACCAAAGUGCGAGGUUGGUACGUUUUGGAAAGGCCGGAGGCGUCAGAAAGGGUAAAUGUGCAUUGUUGGGGGUUUUCGAGAGCUAAAGAAUCAAAAAUCUGCUUACUGCAGCUUUUGAGCUCUCGGGGACCGGUCCCUGGUGAGAGAGACCGGUCCCUGAAUGUAAAAAAUCUCAGAGAUAGAAAAAUCGGCUAAGUCCCAGAA
RNAcentral lists this long non-coding RNA (330 nucleotides) under Ananas comosus (pineapple). RNAcentral's name for it is "long non-coding RNA (ACOM_LNC003676)". The record is from RNAcentral. Lineage: Eukaryota; Viridiplantae; Streptophyta; Magnoliopsida; Poales; Bromeliaceae.